This 486-nucleotide ribosomal RNA is filed under the name uncultured bacterium. RNAcentral describes it as "partial 16S ribosomal RNA". It matches the Rfam family "Bacterial small subunit ribosomal RNA", at positions 28 to 523 of the family's 1533-position model. The record is from RNAcentral.
GAUGAACGCUGGCGGCGUGCUUAACACAUGCAAGUCGAACGGAAAGGCCUCAGCUUGCUGGGGUACUCGAGUGGCGAACGGGUGAGUAACACGUGGGUGAUCUGCCCUGCACUUUGGGAUAAGCCCGGGAAACUGGGUCUAAUACCGAAUAUGACCACUUCUUGGAUGUUGUGGUGGAAAGCUUUUGCGGUGUGGGAUGAGCCUGCGGCCUAUCAGCUUGUUGGUGGGGUAAUGGCCUACCAAGGCGGCGACGGGUAUCCGGCCUGAGAGGGGGUACGGACACAUUGGGACUGAGAUACGGCCCAGACUCCUACGGGAGGCAGCGGUGGGGAAUAUUGCACAAUGGGCGCAAGCCUGAUGCAGCGACGCCGCGUGGGGGAUGAAGGCCUUCGGGUUGUAAACUCCUUUCGCUAUCGACGAAGCCACUUGUGGUGACGGUAGGUAGAUAAGAAGCACCGGCUAACUACGUGCCAGCCGCCGCAGUAA